CGGUGGUUAUUGCGAGAGGGAAACGCCCGGUCACUUUCCGAACCCGGAAGCUAAGCCUCUCAGCGCCGAUGGUACUGCAAGGGGGACCUUGUGGGAGAGUAGGACACUGCC
This 111-nucleotide ribosomal RNA is filed under the name Microbacterium faecale. Lineage: Bacteria; Bacillati; Actinomycetota; Actinomycetes; Micrococcales; Microbacteriaceae. The record is from RNAcentral.